Long non-coding RNA from Gadus macrocephalus (Pacific cod), 778 nucleotides. RefSeq lists it as uncharacterized. The transcript has 3 exons. NCBI's taxonomy places the organism in Eukaryota, Metazoa, Chordata, Actinopteri, Gadiformes, Gadidae. The record is from RefSeq and is a predicted model, not a curated record.
UGUAAGACUGUUGGAAAUGUUUUCCUCUGGAUAGUAAGGAGGACUCACAUGUUGUCACACUAUUACAUUCUACAGGCUACAGCUGCAAGUAUUCCACCUAUUCGUUUCAGCUUCUAUCCAGUAAUGAGAUCAUUCACUUUCAACUACUACAGGUAAAACUAAAAUGCUGCUUGUCCGAUUUGUGAAACUAUACUCUGGGUGACAGAGUAUAGAUAAAGCAUUAUUCAGUGGGUGUAUUGUAUUUGUUUUUUUGCUAUUGCUCAUUCAUUCAUUUCUAUUCUCUUUUGUCAAUAGGUAACGGAAGCUAGCAGUUCAGUUGCCAUGGAGUCCCAAGGCUGUAGGAGGGGCCUCAACCAUCUCAUUUUCAAUGAGGGAGUAGAUAUAGACCUCAUCACUACAGACCGGGCCACAUCAGUUCGGAAAAUAAUGAGGGAGGAAUUCAAGAAUGUUCACCAUGAAUUUGAUCCUUGGCAUGUAUCAAAAGGCAUAAAGAAAAAACUGGUAGCACUCGCCAACAAAAAGGAAAAUCGGGUCCUGCAGGGCUGGAUUCGGGCGAUCCUCAAUCACUUUUGGUUCUCAUGCUCAUCUUGUGGUGAGAGUGCUGAGGAACUGAAGCGACGGUGGACCUCAGUCCUCCACCACAUCUGUGGGGAGCACACAUGGGAGCAAGAUGGAAGAAAGUGGGCAUGCCCUCACCCUGCUCUAAACCCAGAUCGGCAAAGGACAAAGCGAUGGCUCCAGCCAGAGUCUCAAGUGUUCAAGUCUUUACGGAAUAUUG